GCCCGAGCUCCUGAUUGACAGGCCGCCUCGCCAAUGCCUGGAGGGAGAAAGGAGGGCUUGUGGCUGCUCUAUUGUGUGUUCUCCAAAGGGCAGCUUUCUUCUAUUGGUUCUGCUGCAGGACUUCUGCUCAUCCUUGUUUAGGUCAGGAUUUCAAGGUCCUCCCUGGAAAGAUGAAGUAGCAGGAAAUGAUAGACCGAGCACCAGGCCUGGAAUCAGAAGCCCGGUGUUCCACGCCCAGCUUUAUUUCUUAAUGGGUGCCUGACUUCAGUCAAGUUAUAUUCUUUUCAGAAUACCAGCUCCUUGUCAUGAUUAAAAGGCCACAGGAAAAACAAAGGACAGUUCGUUUGUUCACUUUACAAAGCUAGGAUGAUCUAAUAAUUAUAUGCUCACUCACAAAUGUGGAUGGAAAAAGUCUGACUAAAACAUUCGUUUAUUGAAUGUAGCAUUGUAUCAAAUGAAUGACACACCAUGACUAGGAGGGUUUAUUUUUGUAAGUAAAGCUAUUUUGAUAUAACAAAAUCUACAAGUUAAUAAUUCUUCAAAUUA
Molecule: long non-coding RNA, 546 nt
Organism: Cercocebus atys (sooty mangabey)
Lineage: Eukaryota; Metazoa; Chordata; Mammalia; Primates; Cercopithecidae
Exons: 3
Source: RefSeq, a predicted model, not a curated record